Molecule: ribosomal RNA, 253 nt
Filed under: uncultured bacterium
Lineage: Bacteria
Description: partial 16S ribosomal RNA
Rfam family: Bacterial small subunit ribosomal RNA
Source: RNAcentral
UACAGAGGUCCCGAGCGUUGUUCGGAUUCACUGGGCGUAAAGGGUGCGUAGGUGGCAUGGUAAGUUUGAUGUGAAAGCUCAGGGCUUAACCCUGAAAUGGCAUUGAAUACUACUGUGCUGGAGGUUUGGAGGGGGGACUGGAAUGCUUGGUGUAGCAGUGAAAUGCGUAGAUAUCAAGCGGAACACCAGUGGCGAAGGCGAGUCCCUGGACAACUCCUGACACUGAGGCACGAAAGCUAGGGGAGCAAACAGG